GAGUUUGAUCAUGGCUCAAAUUGAACGCUGGCGGCAUGCCUUACACAUGCAAGUCGAACGGCAGCACGGGAGCAAUCCUGGUGGCGAGUGGCGAACGGGUGAGUAAUACAUCGGAACGUGUCCUGUAGUGGGGGAUAGCCCGGCGAAAGCCGGAUUAAUACCGCAUACGAUCUACGGAAGAAAGCGGGGGAUCCUUCGGGACCUCGCGCUAUAGGGGCGGCCGAUGGCAGAUUAGCUAGUUGGUGGGGUAAAGGCCUACCAAGGCGACGAUCUGUAGCUGGUCUGAGAGGACGACCAGCCACACUGGGACUGAGACACGGCCCAGACUCCUACGGGAGGCAGCAGUGGGGAAUUUUGGACAAUGGGGGAAACCCUGAUCCAGCAAUGCCGCGUGUGUGAAGAAGGCCUUCGGGUUGUAAAGCACUUUUGUCCGGAAAGAAAACUUCUGCCCUAAUACGGCGGGAGGAUGACGGUACCGGAAGAAUAAGCACCGGCUAACUACGUGCCAGCAGCCGCGGUAAUACGUAGGGUGCGAGCGUUAAUCGGAAUUACUGGGCGUAAAGCGUGCGCAGGCGGUUCGUUAAGACAGAUGUGAAAUCCCCGGGCUUAACCUGGGAACUGCAUUUGUGACUGGCGAGCUAGAGUAUGGCAGAGGGGGGUAGAAUUCCACGUGUAGCAGUGAAAUGCGUAGAGAUGUGGAGGAAUACCGAUGGCGAAGGCAGCCCCCUGGGCCAAUACUGACGCUCAUGCACGAAAGCGUGGGGAGCAAACAGGAUUAGAUACCCUGAUAGUCCACGCCCUAAACGAUGUCAACUAGUUGUUGGGUCUUCAUUGACUUAGUAACGUAGCUAACGCGUGAAGUUGACCAAUCACUA
Molecule: ribosomal RNA, 875 nt
Filed under: uncultured beta proteobacterium
Lineage: Bacteria; Pseudomonadati; Pseudomonadota; Betaproteobacteria
Description: bacterial SSU rRNA
Rfam family: Bacterial small subunit ribosomal RNA
Source: RNAcentral